GAUGAACGCUGGCGGCGUGCCUAAUACAUGCAAGUCGAGCGAACGGACGAGAAGCUUGCUUCUCUGAUGUUAGCGGCGGACGGGUGAGUAACACGUGGAUAACCUACCUAUAAGACUGGGAUAACUUCGGGAAACCGGAGCUAAUACCGGAUAAUAUUUUGAACCGCAUGGUUCAAAAGUGAAAGACGGUCUUGCUGUCACUUAUAGAUGGAUCCGCGCUGCAUUAGCUAGUUGGUAAGGUAACGGCUUACCAAGGCAACGAUGCAUAGCCGACCUGAGAGGGUGAUCGGCCACACUGGAACUGAGACACGGUCCAGACUCCUACGGGAGGCAGCAGUGGGGAAUCUUCCGCAAUGGGCGAAAGCCUGACGGAGCAACGCCGCGUGAGUGAUGAAGGUCUUCGGAUCGUAAAACUCUGUUAUUAGGGAAGAACAUAUGUGUAAGUAACUGUGCACAUCUUGACGGUACCUAACCAGAAAGCCACGGCUAACUACGUG
This 497-nucleotide ribosomal RNA is filed under the name uncultured bacterium. RNAcentral's name for it is "partial 16S ribosomal RNA". It matches the Rfam family "Bacterial small subunit ribosomal RNA", at positions 28 to 507 of the family's 1533-position model. The record is from RNAcentral.